This 447-nucleotide ribosomal RNA is filed under the name uncultured organism. RNAcentral's name for it is "partial 16S ribosomal RNA". It matches the Rfam family "Bacterial small subunit ribosomal RNA", at positions 335 to 798 of the family's 1533-position model. The record is from RNAcentral.
ACUCCUGCGGGAGGCAGCAGUGGGGAAUAUUGGACAAUGGGCGCAAGCCUGAUCCAGCCAUGCCGCGUGAGUGAUGAAGGCCCUAGGGUUGUAAAGCUCUUUCACCGGUGAAGAUAAUGACGGUAACCGGAGAAGAAGCCCCGGCUAACUUCGUGCCAGCAGCCGCGGUAAUACGAAGGGGGCUAGCGUUGUUCGGAUUUACUGGGCGUAAAGCGCACGUAGGCGGACUAUUAAGUCAGGGGUGAAAUCCCGGGGCUCAACCCCGGAACUGCCUUUGAUACUGGUAGUCUUGAGUUCGAGAGAGGUGAGUGGAAUUCCGAGUGUAGAGGUGAAAUUCGUAGAUAUUCGGAGGAACACCAGUGGCGAAGGCGGCUCACUGGCUCGAUACUGACGCUGAGGUGCGAAAGCGUGGGGAGCAAACAGGAUUAGAAACCCUGGUAGUCCCAU